RNAcentral lists this long non-coding RNA (983 nucleotides) under Diabrotica virgifera virgifera (western corn rootworm). RNAcentral describes it as "uncharacterized LOC126884483". Lineage: Eukaryota; Metazoa; Arthropoda; Insecta; Coleoptera; Chrysomelidae. The record is from RNAcentral.
AGUAUAGGAGAAUCAGUAAGCUCACUCGUCAAAAAAUUUGUUCCAUGCGCGAAGUUGACCAAAAUUCGUUUCACCGUGCGCAUCCGAUAAAGCGGAUCGGAUAUGUUUGCUACGAUUGGUCGGGAGUCGGGAUCGUGUCAUUCAUCAUCUGAUUUUCUUUUGAGAAUUUUUUGAGGUUGUGUUUGGGAAUUGGAUUGUUUUGGUUAAUUUACUACUUUGUUCUCAUAUUAAUAAUAUAUAUUAUGUACGUGUAAAAUAUUAUGUGCUGUGAAUGUGAUAUUAUUUUCUUAAAUCAAUAAAAUGGAAAUAAAGCAAGCAGAAAAUAAUUUUUACAAAGAAGAAUGUAAAAUUAAAAUCGAAAAUUCUGGACAACCUGUGUGAUGCUGUAAUAGUUCCUAUUCUGUUAAAACUUUAAAACUGAGAUAGAGUAGAGACUGUAGAGAGUCUUUAAAACUGAUAAAAGUAGUUAUUUCUAUGGUGGAAAUUUUUUGGACCAAAUAAAUAGUGAAGACAUCAAAUAAAAGGAGGAUAGAUAAUUCAUGUCCAAAAUGAUUUUCUUCAUAAUAAAUGAAGAACUGAAGUUAUUGUAAAACCAGUGGCUGGACAUUCUCCUGUCAAGAAGAACAACCCAUUAGCAAGUGUGCAAAAGAAACAAUGAAAUUGUGAAAUUUGUUUUAGGUUAUUUACCUGUGUAGAUUAUUUGAAAAAACAUUUAAGAGCACACACUGGAGAAAAACCUUAUCAAUGUGAAAUCUGCGUUAAGCAAUUUUCUCUAAAUUCUCCUCUAAAUCGACAUAAAUAUAUGAUAGUUCAUACUCGGGAAAAAUCUCACAAAUGUGAAAUCGUUUACCACUGUGUGUCAUAUGAAAGCACAUUUUAGAACACACAGUGGUAAAAAACCUUAUGAAUGCAACAUUUGUAGUAAGCAAUUGUUGACUGCAAAAACAAAUUUAAAUAAAAAAGUGACAAAGAUGUGACAGAAA